Molecule: ribosomal RNA, 465 nt
Filed under: uncultured bacterium
Lineage: Bacteria
Description: partial 16S ribosomal RNA
Rfam family: Bacterial small subunit ribosomal RNA
Source: RNAcentral
GACGAACGCUGGCGGCGUGCUUAACACAUGCAAGUCGAACGGAAAGGCCCCUUUGGGGGUACUCGAGUGGCGAACGGGUGAGUAACACGUAAGUAACCUGCCCUUGACUUCGGGAUAACUUCAGGAAACUGGGGCUAAUACCGGAUAGGAAUCCUUGCUGCAUGGUGGGGGUUGGAAAGCUUCGGCGGUUUUGGAUGGACUCGCGGCUUAUCAGCUUGUUGGUGGGGUAGUGGCUUACCAAGGCUUUGACGGGUAGCCGGCCUGAGAGGGCGACCGGCCACAUUGGGACUGAGAUACGGCCCAGACUCCUACGGGAGGCAGCAGUGGGGAAUAUUGCACAAUGGGCGGAAGCCUGAUGCAGCAACGCCGCGUGCGGGAGGACGGCCUUCGGGUUGUAAACCGCUUUCAGCAGGGGCGAAGCUUGUGGUGACGGUACCUGCAGAAGAAGCACCGGCUAACUACGUG